Molecule: ribosomal RNA, 433 nt
Filed under: uncultured bacterium
Lineage: Bacteria
Description: partial 16S ribosomal RNA
Rfam family: Bacterial small subunit ribosomal RNA
Source: RNAcentral
AACGAACGCUGGCGGCAGGCCUAACACAUGCAAGUCGAGCGAGGACUUCGGUCCUAGCGGCGGACGGGUGAGUAACGCGUGGGAACGUGCCCUUUGCUUCGGAAUAGCCCUGGGAAACUGGGAGUAAUACCGGAUGAGCCCUUUGGGGGAAAGAUUUAUCGGCGAAGGAUCGGCCCGCGUUGGAUUAGGUAGUUGGUGGGGUAAUGGCCUACCAAGCCGACGAUCCAUAGCUGGUUUGAGAGGAUGAUCAGCCACACUGGGACUGAGACACGGCCCAGACUCCUACGGGAGGCAGCAGUGGGGAAUCGUAGACAAUGGGGGAAACCCUGAUCUAGCCAUGCCGCGUGAGCGAUGAAGGCCUUAGGGUUGUAAAGCGCUUUCAGCUGGGAAGAUAAUGACGGUACCAGCAGAAGAAGCCCCGGCUAACUCCGUG